UGUUUCCCCCCCUCUGCAUGCGUAUUCCCCCCUAUGCAGCAGGCCCACCAGGAAACGGUUGUUUGGUUCGCUGUUUUCCCAUUCCCCGUCGAAUCGGUUACAGGCAUUACGGCCCCUCAGCGCCGAUUACCCAUUCCGCGUCUUUCCCUUUUUUCUCUUCCGUUUUCUGCCCUCGUCCUCAACACUGUCAAAAGCUUCCCCAAAGUAAUCGACAGAGUCCUCGACGUUGUCAAAAGCUUUCCCAAAGUCGAUCCUUCCAAGAUAUUAGAAGAAGAUGGUGUUGGUUUUGGCUUUGGGGGAUUUGCAUAUACCCCAUCGGGCGGCUGAUCUCCCUCCCAAAUUCAAGUCCAUGCUAGUUCUUGGAAUGAUCCAACACGUCUUUUGCACUGGUAAUCUUUGCAUCAAGGAAGUUCAAGAUUACUUGAAGACACUUUGUCCUGACUUGCAUAUUACCAGAGGUGAAUAUGAUGAAGAUACAAGAUAUCCCGAGACCAAAACAUUAACUAUCGGACAAUUCAAGCUGGGAUUGUGCCAUGCCAUGGCCAUCAGACAGAGAUCUUGCUCUCUUUUUCUGAAGCUGCUAAAGGAUGCACGAAGGAUCUACAGUUUUAUGCAUUUGUAACUUGUGAUUCUUGCGGCUAGUGCUGACUGCUAUUUAUGGCUCCAUACUGUUUAUGUACCAUUCCAAGUGGAGAGAAAGGUAACCUGGUAUGUUCAUCUAAGUUACUUACAUUUUUUGCAAGUUGAUUAAUCAUAGACUUACUGUUGCUUCUUUGUCCUUCUGCAACAAGACCUGCAUUCUACAAAUAUGUUGCCUUCAUGUUCAUCUUGAAUGCACUAGAACUGUUUGCUUUACCUAGAGCUUCUUCCUAAAGAUCAAUAUACCGAUAUUGCUGUGGGAACAUAUCCAAAAAUGUAGAAUGUGCUUUACCUAGAGCUUCUUCCUAAAGAUCAGUUAGUCCUUGAUUUUUUUUUCAGUAUGUACUAUGUGUUGUCAAGUAGAUUUGGAGUUUGAAUAUCUACAUCUAAAUUAUUUUCAUUUCCAAGCAGAGAUCUUUUCUGAUCAAUUUUCUUGUAACAAAAUAAAUAGUAUCAUUGUGUUUGUUAUUGUAGAAUUACAAGAGUCUUGUACUAAUAGAAUUUGAUGGAGUUUGAAUGGCUCACA
This is an RNA transcript of Gossypium raimondii (Peruvian cotton), 1165 nucleotides long. It is a transcript of the gene named vacuolar protein sorting-associated protein 29, with no coding region annotated. The record is from RefSeq and is a predicted model, not a curated record. Lineage: Eukaryota; Viridiplantae; Streptophyta; Magnoliopsida; Malvales; Malvaceae. The transcript is spliced from 5 exons.